CAGUAGCCGCGGGAAUACAGAGGGUGCGAGCGUUAAUCGGAUUUACUGGGCGUAAAGCGUGCGUAGGCGGCUAAUUGAGUCGGAUGUGAAAUCCCCGAGCUUAACUUGGGAAUUGCAUUCGAUACUGGUUAGCUAGAGUGUGGGAGAGGAUGGUAGAAUUCCAGGUGUAGCGGUGAAAUGCGUAGAGAUCUGGAGGAAUACCGAUGGCGAAGGCAGCCAUCUGGCCUAACACUGACGCUGAGGUGCGAAAGCAUGGGGAGCAAACAGGAUUAGAUACCCCAGUAGUCCCUGUCUCUUAUAC
This 301-nucleotide ribosomal RNA is filed under the name uncultured bacterium. Its description in RNAcentral is "partial 16S ribosomal RNA". It matches the Rfam family "Bacterial small subunit ribosomal RNA", at positions 509 to 807 of the family's 1533-position model. The record is from RNAcentral.